AUGGGGAGGAAAAACAAGGAGGAGAGGGGGGAGGGGGCAGAGAGGUACCUUGAUGGUGCCCUGCUGCACGUAGAAGAGUCCCUCUGGUGCUGGAUCGGAGAUGAGUCGCUGCCCUACAGCUUGAUCUGGAGGGGAAAGAGGGGCGGCGGGAAGGAGGCCAUGAGGGGAAAGGAGGUUGGGGAGGAGGGGAAAGGGGAGGAAGAGAUCGUGGCAGGGGCGGAGAGGAGGUGGUGCGGAAGCUGGAGCUUGCCGUUGGUGGAUGGUCGCCGGAGAGGACGAGGUCGAGAUGGCGGAUCCCAGGAGCCAGCUGCCACCGCCGACGGCUUCUACUACCCCGAGGAUGCCUACUACUACGUGGAGGACGCCAACGACCAAGAAUAG
This 381-nucleotide ribosomal RNA is filed under the name Triticum aestivum (bread wheat). Its description in RNAcentral is "partial small subunit ribosomal RNA". The record is from RNAcentral. Lineage: Eukaryota; Viridiplantae; Streptophyta; Magnoliopsida; Poales; Poaceae.